UUUAUGGAGAGUUUGAUCCUGGCUCAGAGUGAACGCUGGCGGCGUGCCUAAUACAUGCAAGUCGAACGAUGAAGCUUCUAGCUUGCUAGAGUGCUGAUUAGUGGCGCACGGGUGAGUAACGCAUAGGUUAUGUGCCUCUUAGUUUGGGAUAGCCAUUGGAAACGAUGAUUAAUACCAGAUACUCCCUACGGGGGAAAGAUUUAUCGCUAAGAGAUCAGCCUAUGUCCUAUCAGCUUGUUGGUAAGGUAAUGGCUUACCAAGGCUAUGACGGGUAUCCGGCCUGAGAGGGUGAACGGACACACUGGAACUGAGACACGGUCCAGACUCCUACGGGAGGCAGCAGUAGGGAAUAUUGCUCAAUGGGGGAAACCCUGAAGCAGCAACGCCGCGUGGAGGAUGAAGGUUUUAGGAUUGUAAACUCCUUUUGUUAGAGAAGAUAAUGACGGUAUCUAACGAAUAAGCACCGGCUAACUCCGUGCCAGCAGCCGCGGUAAUACGGAGGGUGCAAGCGUUACUCGGAAUCACUGGGCGUAAAGAGCGCGUAGGCGGGAUAGUCAGUCAGGUGUGAAAUCCUAUGGCUUAACCAUAGAACUGCAUUUGAAACUACUAUUCUAGAGUGUGGGAGAGGUAGGUGGAAUUCUUGGUGUAGGGGUAAAAUCCGUAGAGAUCAAGAGGAAUACUCAUUGCGAAGGCGACCUGCUGGAACAUUACUGACGCUGAUUGCGCGAAAGCGUGGGGAGCAAACAGGAUUAGAUACCCUGGUAGUCCACGCCCUAAACGAUGGAUGCUAGUUGUUGGAGGGCUUAGUCUCUCCAGUAAUGCAGCUAACGCAUUAAGCAUCCCGCCUGGGGAGUACGGUCGCAAGAUUAAAACUCAAAGGAAUAGACGGGGACCCGCACAAGCGGUGGAGCAUGUGGUUUAAUUCGAAGAUACACGAAGAACCUUACCUAGGCUUGACAUUGAGAGAAUCCGCUAGAAAUAGUGGAGUGUCUGGCUUGCUAGACCUUGAAAACAGGUGCUGCACGGCUGUCGUCAGCUCGUGUCGUGAGAUGUUGGGUUAAGUCCCGCAACGAGCGCAACCCCCUUUCUUAGUUGCUAACAGGUUAUGCUGAGAACUCUAAGGAUACUGCCUCCGUAAGGAGGAGGAAGGUGGGGACGACGUCAAGUCAUCAUGGCCCUUACGCCUAGGGCUACACACGUGCUACAAUGGGGUGCACAAAGAGAAGCAAUACUGCGAAGUGGAGCCAAUCUUCAAAACACCUCUCAGUUCGGAUUGUAGGCUGCAACUCGCCUGCAUGAAGCUGGAAUCGCUAGUAAUCGCAAAUCAGCCAUGUUGCGGUGAAUACGUUCCCGGGUCUUGUACUCACCGCCCGUCACACCAUGGGAGUUGUGUUUGCCUUAAGUCAGGAUGCUAAAUUGGCUACUGCCCACGGCACACACAGCGACUGGGGUGAAGUCGUAACAAGGUAACCGUAGGUGAACCUGCGGUUGGAUCACCUCCUUUCUAGA
This 1509-nucleotide ribosomal RNA is filed under the name Helicobacter pylori. RNAcentral describes it as "bacterial SSU rRNA". It matches the Rfam family "Bacterial small subunit ribosomal RNA". Lineage: Bacteria; Pseudomonadati; Campylobacterota; Epsilonproteobacteria; Campylobacterales; Helicobacteraceae. The record is from RNAcentral.